AGUGGCGGACGGGUGAGUAACGCGUGAGAACCUGCCUUGGGGUCGGGGACAACCACUGGAAACGGUGGCUAAUACCGGAUAAGCCGAUUGGUGAAAGAUUUAUUGCCCGAAGAGGAGCUCGCGUCUGAUUAGCUAGUUGGUGAGGUAAGAGCUCACCAAGGCAGCGAUCAGUAGCUGGUCUGAGAGGACGAUCAGCCACACUGGGACUGAGACACGGCCCAGACUCCUACGGGAGGCAGCAGUGGGGAAUUUUCCGCAAUGGGCGAAAGCCUGACGGAGCAAGACCGCGUGAGGGAGGAAGGCUCUUGGGUUGUAAACCUCUUUUCUCAGGGAAGAAGCUCUGACGGUACCUGAGGAAUCAGCCUCGGCUAACUCCGUGCCAGCAGCCGCGGUAAUACGGAGGAGGCAAGCGUUAUCCGGAAUUAUUGGGCGUAAAGCGUCCGCAGGUGGCGAUUCAAGUCUGCUGUCAAAGCACGGGGCUUAACUCCGUAAAGGCAGUGGAAACUGAAUAGCUAGAGUGCCGUAGGGGUAGAGGGAAUUCCCGGUGUAGCGGUGAAAUGCGUAGACAUCGGGAAGAACAUCGGUGGCGAAAGCGCUCUACUGGACGGCAACUGACACUCAGGGACGAAAGCUAGGGGAGCGAAUGGGAUUAGAUACCCC
Molecule: ribosomal RNA, 660 nt
Filed under: uncultured bacterium
Lineage: Bacteria
Description: bacterial SSU rRNA
Rfam family: Bacterial small subunit ribosomal RNA
Source: RNAcentral